AAAAAAAAAAAAAAAAAACUGAAGAAUAAUUCAGGAGAUGAAAAAUAUUUGUCUUAUUAAUAUUAAUUUUAAUAAAAAGUCAAACUUAUUUCAUGGAAAAUUGUAUUUCUGACGGCACGUUGCCGAAACGCAUGCGCACAUUUUCCGCCUGGUGUUUUCCCCCAGCACGUAAAUGCAUGUCUUUUUGGUUUUGGGAGUUGUCAAACGUCACGCCAAUUAUUCUUUUGAAGCGACUAAAAUUAGCUUUGUUAUUUAAACGCACCUUUCCUCUACUUUGUUUAGCGUGAAAGUUUAGGCAUUGAUGCUCGCAGUUGCAAUCCAGCCUUUUGGAAAAACUGCACACAGUACUGCAAAAAGGUCCGCAAGUGAGAUGUUAUCGUUUAUCUUAAGUGUUGGCAGAUUAAAGAUAAAUAAUACUGAUGAACGAAUGCAAGUAUGCAAAAAUGGCCCACCAGCGAUAGAGCGGUAAAAGCCACUGAAUACUGGUAGAUCGAUCCGGGGUUCAAGUCCCUGCGAAAGGGCUGGCUGCAUGAGCGAUUUCGUGGUUUUUCCCAUAUGUAAUGAGGAUACGAGCCAGUGUUCCUCAAAAAGACCUCUGUGGGGCAUCCUUGCCUUUCCGUGUAGUGCCUAAGGACGGGAAAUGUAAUAAUAAGAAAAAAAAAAAGUAACCAGAAAAAAAAGUAACUGAAAUCAUUUUGAUGAAUUUCAGAAAAAUAAUUUUGAUGGUUCUUUCAUGUAUGGACAUAAAAAUUACGCAAUUUAAGUACUUUUUCAUAUAGCUAGGAAAGAUACAUUUUGGUCUGAACGAAAGUUUUAUUCUCAAGUAGUUGCAAAAGAAAAAAAUGGGGAGAAAAUAGAAAUAAAUGAAGAUAUACAAAUAUACAAAUAGUAUCAUGCUAUCUGAGUCACUAAAAUAGAAAUUUAUUAUUAUAGUUUUCUUUAAUAGCUCCACUUAAUUUUCAAAUCUUUUUGCAUUGAGAAGACUCUUCUUAAGAAUAGUGACUUCUUAAGAAUUUUGCUUACAACACUAGCCAAGAAGAAAACUUAAAUUUACUUGAAUUCCUUAAGACAUUUUCAGAAAAACUGAAGCUAUUUGAAGAUUUCAGUUAAAGCUAUAGUAGGCAGGUAAUCUAUUACGUCAUAUGGACUUGAGGCUACCUGUGUCUUGUAAAGAACAUGCCAAUAAAAACAUUCUGGGGAGAACUGAGGCUUAUAUUACACAGAGUGUAAGGAUUUCUGAAAGACUUUGUAGCAAGAGAAGCAAAUUAGGCAAAUUUUUAACUUUAGAUUAUUGGGAAAUCGUCUGUUCUUAAAACAUCAGAUCUGUUUUAAAUGUUCAUGACUAAUAAUAUUGCCAAUCUAAUAUUAAAUCCUACGUAAUCUAAAAUCCGAUGCAAAUAAUGUAGGUAGUCGUCUGAAUCUCCUACAGUUGAACCUAAAACAGAAAUACGACUUUGUAGCAAGAGAAGCAAAUUAGGCAAAUUUUUAACUUUAGAUUAUUGGGAAAUCGUCUGUUCUUAAAACCUCAGAUCUGUUUUAAAUGUUCAUGACUAAUAAUACUGUCAAUCUAAUAUUAAAUCCUUCGCAAUCUAAAAUCCGAUGCAAAUAAUGUAGGUAAUCGUCUAAAUCUCCUACAGUUGAACCUAAAACAGAAAUAACAGCAUUCAUAAUUAACCUCUCCUAAUGCGCAAGUCGAAGGGAGCAUUCACAUUCUAUUACAAGGAGAUUGCACGUCUACGCAAUUUUUAAAAGUUUAGUUGUAGACCGAUGACUUUGUUUUAAAAAAAUUAAUUAAGAAAAACUUUCAGAUAACAAAAAGUCUUAACAUGCGACAUAUUUUAGCGAAAAUGCUCAACUCAAGAAUUUAUAAUAUGGUUACAUUCGAAAAAUAUUAUGAAUAAGAAAAACAUUCAACACAGCUCAGCUGAAUUAAGCAUAAAAUAUUUCUCCUCUAACCCUAAUUACCUAGCAUAUAGUUAUUAAAGAUUUGAGAAAUGGGUAUUGUGAUAUGUCACCAUAUUACAUUUUCAAGCACAGACAUCUGAAAGGACUUUUGUAAAGCUAUCAAGCAAAUCUAAAUAAGAGAAAAUGAUGAAUCAGCUGUGCCAUAACGAAGAUUCAAACUUCAGAUCUUUCAACUACUUAGCCGAACGUGUUACCGAUUAUACCACGACAGCACACAAUGCAGCCCAAAAUCCCUUAAAUUUUUAAGUAUAAAAUAACAACAGUUUAGAAGUACUGGCUUCAAUUUAUUAUCUGUAAAGCUGCUAACACAUGAUUUUUUAUUUAAUGAAAUUUCAUUUUCUAAGAAUCCCAGAAUCUAUGCUUUUUCAUUAAGUGAAAGAACUUUAAAUUAUAGAAUUUUGACAAUGUAUUCAGCGCCAAAUUUAAAUACUAUGCACUCACCUUUGUUGUAAUAGAAGUUUUGAAAGAUUGGGGUCAAGGAAAAGUCAGUAUAGGAUUUGCCAGCUAAAGCAAUGAGAGAGAAGUUUUAAUAUUUUCAUCAUUUGUUCUUAUAUGCGUUUGGAGGAUCGAUUUAAGAAUUUCGGUGUCUCCUAUAAGUCGCAACAUGAAGACCCCUUCGGGUCUCCUUUAGAAUUAUAUUUUCUGAAGCCAGUUUAUGUUCCAUGGCCAGUCUGUUACAUAAUAUAUUACACUAAUCAUUCUGUUUUGAAAGUAAAAAUUAUAGGCAUUUAUGUAAUUUUUUUAUAUAACAGUUUUCAAAAUAGUGGAAUUUUCCAUAUCCAAGCAAAAUAUAACUGCACUAAAGCACUUGCAUAAUGUUAUCAAACCGCACAAUAUUUUCAGUUAAAAAAUUGAAACGGUUUCUCAAUUAAACUAAAAAUUUAUAACACAUUUAGCAAUUUCAACAUGCAAAAUUUAAAAGAUUUUUAAUUAAAAAAUUUAUUUGAAUAUUUCCAUUUACUGGACUGCUUAGUUUUUCUUGAUAGCCUUUAAAAAGUAGAUUUUGUUCCGUUAGGAAAGUAAUUAUGAAGAACAAUCUCCUUAAGACUAACCUCCAUGUUUUUUUCUUCCUCCUUAAUAUGAUUUUAUGCUACUUGAAUCAAUUUUGAAACUUAGAUUCUUAAUGACAAUUCAUUCCAUGUGUGCAUAUGAUCUAUGUGGUUUCAAGGCAAUUCAUGACGAGAGAGAGAGAAGCUUAAGGAUCCUUUAAAGUCUCAGUAUCAAUGUAUCGCAAGAGAACCAUAGUUAGUUUAUAAGCUUAACUCGCCAGAGAGCCACAAAUAGAGCUGAAUACUUUGCAGUAACAUCAAUACACAGCGUUCUUUUGUUUUAAAGAUAUGCAAGGUAAACCUCUUAAAUCUAUUAUAUGUGAAGAGGAAAAGGUUUUUCUUACUUUUAUGCUUUUUGAAAGUAAGAGAACUAAUAUUUUUGUCUAAUAAUACUACAGAAUUUAGAUUUGCUUUUCUAUUUCAAUUCCUUUCUCCAUGUUCUCACUUAAAUAUUUUCAGCCUUCUAUUAUAUUCUUAAAUAUUUUAUGUUUACAAACAUUACGAAAUUUAAUUGUUUCCUCUUUUUUUCUUGAAAACCGAUGAAAUUUCCAGAAUCAAUUAGUGACAGUUUUAUUUCAGUUUUAAUAGUAAAGAAUGCAAUAAUAUGUUAAUUGUGAGUAAAAAAUGCAAUGAUACUGGGAAUUUACUUUAUUCCCAUAAUCGUCAUAUCAUUUACUCAUAAUAAUGAGCUCAUUGCUGUUGAAAGAGGCCUGAGGUAUGUGGAGAAUAUUGUUGAACCUGAUUUUGUGGAUAUAUGAAUUCUAACUGAUAGCCGAUCAUCAGUUCAAAAUCUAAGGUAUUGGACAGAGGUUAGGGACGGGGCUGGCAUAUCUAUCCUGAACUUUCUAGGCUUUCGGUUAAUUUUAAGGUGCACAUUCAAUGGAUUCCCUCCCAUGUGGGCAUUAGCGGCAACGAGACUGCUGCUUUAGAGAUUUCCCUAUCAGAUAUGCUUUGAAUCUGAGGUGCUUUCGAGUGUAAGAAAUCAUUUAAAGAUCUCUGGAGUGUCCCUCUAGUACAUAACUGGUACUCGAGAGUUUGGGUUGGUGACUUCCUUUUUGAGGGGAAUAGCCAGCAGACUUGCAUAUCAAGUUUUUGCAAGUGGACACUUAAAGAGUUUCUCCUAUGAACAACGACAGAAAGGAUUUAAUGCUGGCACCAAGUGUAAUGCUGCUCAGGCAUCAAUUGAUCAUAAUUUAAUUUGUCUUGAUUGUACCUUGGACAAGGUUUUUUUCGAAACAUCUUGUUUCUUUUUAGAGAAAUUUGGACUCAUGGAAUUGAUCUAAAAUUGUUGUACCACUUCGGAGAUUAGAAACAACAACAAUGUAUAUCACUCUUCGGAAGCAAAUAAUUUCGGAUUCAUAAUGAAAUCAUGUCACCUUUAACUUACAAUAUCAGACUAUAACAACUCGGAGUCUUUUUUAUUCUGACUUUGGCACUGCGGUAGCAACCAGCAGGUUUUCGGGUUUUUUUUUUCAGCUUGAUAGUAGCAAUGAAUGUUGUGUCUGAAGACAGGACUGUAAUGCCAUUAUGUCUUAGUAUAUGGCCGACGUUGAAUAAGAUUGUAAAAUCUAAACCUUUCUGCAAAAAAAAAGACAACAGCUUUUUCAGCGUUACUGAUGCUCAGCGGCUUAAACGCUCGGCCGCUGGCGGGCCCGGAUGAAAAUGUAUAUUUACGAUAAAGAAGCAAUAGAAAGCGUCAUCGAUUAAUAAAAGGUUUCAAGCUUG
This 4739-nucleotide long non-coding RNA is filed under the name Stegodyphus dumicola. RNAcentral describes it as "uncharacterized LOC118186601". The record is from RNAcentral. Lineage: Eukaryota; Metazoa; Arthropoda; Arachnida; Araneae; Eresidae.